AUGAACGCUGGCGGCGUGCUUAACCCAUGCAGGUCGAACGAUGAAGCCCAGCUUGCUGGGUGGAUUAGUGGCGAACGGGUGAGUAACACGUGAGUAACCUGCCCUUAACUCUGGGAUAAGCCUGGGAAACUGGGUCUAAUACCGGAUAGGAGCGUCCACCGCAUGGUGGGUGUUGGAAAGAUUUAUCGGUUUUGGAUGGACUCGCGGCCUAUCAGCUUGUUGGUGAGGUAAUGGCUCACCAAGGCGACGACGGGUAGCCGGCCUGAGAGGGUGACCGGCCACACUGGGACUGAGACACGGCCCAGACUCCUACGGGAGGCAGCAGUGGGGAAUAUUGCACAAUGGGCGCAAGCCUGAUGCAGCGACGCCGCGUGAGGGAUGACGGCCUUCGGGUUGUAAACCUCUUUCAGUAGGGAAGAAGCGAAAGUGACGGUACCUGCAGAAGAAGCACCGGCUAACUACGUG
Molecule: ribosomal RNA, 465 nt
Filed under: uncultured bacterium
Lineage: Bacteria
Description: partial 16S ribosomal RNA
Rfam family: Bacterial small subunit ribosomal RNA
Source: RNAcentral